CUUAGUACGGCGAGUGAGCGGUAAAAGCUCAAAUUUGAAAUCUGGUACUUUCAGUGCCCGAGUUGUAAUUUGUAGAAUUUGUCUUUGAUUAGGUCCUUGUCUAUGUUCCUUGGAACAGGACGUCAUAGAGGGUGAGAAUCCCGUUUGGCGAGGAUACCUUUUCUCUGUAAGACUUUUUCGAAGAGUCGAGUUGUUUGGGAAUGCAGCUCAAAGUGGGUGGUAAAUUCCAUCUAAAGCUAAAUAUUGGCGAGAGACCGAUAGCGAACAAGUACAGUGAUGGAAAGAUGAAAAGAACUUUGAAAAGAGAGUGAAAAAGUACGUGAAAUUGUUGAAAGGGAAGGGCAUUUGAUCAGACAUGGUGUUUUUUGCAUGCACUCGCCUCUCGUGGGCUUGGGCCUCUCAAAAAUUUCACUGGGCCAACAUCAAUUCUGGCAGUAGGAUAAAUCAUUAAGAAUGUAGCUACCUCGGUAGUGUUAUAGCUUAUUGGAAUACUGCUAGCUGGGAUUGAGGACUGCGCUUCGGCAAGGAUGUUGGCAUAAUGGUUAAAUGCCGCCCGUCUUG
This 561-nucleotide ribosomal RNA is filed under the name Hanseniaspora opuntiae. RNAcentral describes it as "eukaryotic LSU rRNA". It matches the Rfam family "Eukaryotic large subunit ribosomal RNA", at positions 79 to 656 of the family's 3401-position model. The record is from RNAcentral. Lineage: Eukaryota; Fungi; Ascomycota; Saccharomycetes; Saccharomycodales; Saccharomycodaceae.